RNAcentral lists this ribosomal RNA (1629 nucleotides) under Plagiorhynchus transversus. RNAcentral's name for it is "SSU rRNA". It matches the Rfam family "Eukaryotic small subunit ribosomal RNA". The record is from RNAcentral. Lineage: Eukaryota; Metazoa; Acanthocephala; Palaeacanthocephala; Polymorphida; Plagiorhynchidae.
GGCUCAUUAUAUCAGUUGUGGUUUAUGGGCUGAUUUUAACUUGUGGAUAACUGUGGAAAACCUAGAGCUAAUACAUGCAAAUAAGUCCUUUUGCCCGAAAGGACGCAUUUAUCAGAUCAAAGCCAACGCUUCCUUGUGGAGCAAGGCAGUGAUGACUCUGGGUAGAUUAACGGAUCGCAUUGCCAUUGUGCAGGCGACUGUGGCUGCAAGUAUCUGCCCUAUCAACUUUGGCUGGUAGCCGAUGUUGCUAUCAUGGUCAUGACGGGUAACGGAGAAUCGGGGUUCGACUCCGGAGAGAGAGCAUGAGAAACGGCUGUCACAUCCAAGGAAGGCAGCAGGCGCGCAAAUUACCCAAUCCCCGAUCGGGGAGGUAGUGACGAGAAAUAGCAAUGCCGCUAUCUUUUGAUACGGCAGUUGAAAUGGGAACAAUGAAACAAUUUUAUCGAGAAUCUAUUGGAGGGCAAGUUCUGGUGCCAGCAGCCGCGGUAAUUCCAGCUCGAAGAGCGUAUAUCAAAGUUGCUGCGGUUAAAACGCUCGUAGUUGGACAUCAGGAAGAGGGCCGUGGUCGACCAAGUGUUGAUACACGGCUUUAUUCCUCAAUAUUUGCUUAUCAACCGGCGAUGCACUUUGUUGUGUGUCACGGUAGUGGGCCACUGUCACUUUGAGAAACUCAGUGCGCUCAACGCAGGCAAACUGCUUAAAUAAUGCUGCUUGGGAUGACGAAAGAGGCCCCGGCUUCGUUUCGUUGGUUUUACGAAAGCAAGGGUCCUGAUUAAUCGGGACAGACGGGGGCAUUCGUACUGCGGUGCUAGAAGUGAAAUUCUGUGACCAUCGCAAGACGAACAACUGCGAAAGCAUUUGCCAAGAAUGUUUUCAUUAAUCAAGAACGAAAGUUAGAGGAUCGAAGACGAUUAGAUACCGUCCUAGUUCUAACUGUAAACUGUGCCAACUGGGCAUUCGCCAAGAUUUUCUUGGUGAGCGCCCUCCGGGAAACCAAAGUGAUCUGGUUCCGGGGAGAGUAUGGUUGCAAAAUCGAAACUUAAAGGAAUUGACGGAGGGGCACACCAGAAGUGGAGCCUGCGGCUUAAUUUGACUCAACGCGCGAAAGCUUACUCGGUCCGAACACCGCAAGGAUUGACAGGCUGAAAGCUCUUUCUUGAUUCGGUGGGUAGCGGUGCAUGGCCGUUCGUAGUUGGUGAAGUGAUUUGUCUGGUUUAUUCCGAUAACGAACGAGACUCUAACCCGCUGAUUAGCUUGGUGACUGUAUGUCACUAUAGUGCUUCUCAGAGGGACAAGUGCUGCAUAAGCACGCGAAGUUGAGCAAUAACAGGUCUGUGAUGCCCUUCGAUGUUCGAGGCUGCACGCGCGCUACAAUGGAGGGCGCAGAAAGCACAACGCAUUCUGUAAAGAUUGCGGAAUCAUGAAUUGCCUCCAUGACUGGGAUCGAGAUUUGAAACUAUCCCUCGUUAACGAGGAAUUCCUCGUAAGCGCGAAUCAUUACUUCGCGUUGAUUAAGUCCCUGCCCUUUGUACACACCGCCCGUCGCUACUACCGAUGAAUGGUUUUGUGAGAUUUGCGGAGAGACGACAACGCUUUAACAGCGCCAGUACGUCUUGAAGCUUACCGAGC